Molecule: ribosomal RNA, 521 nt
Filed under: uncultured bacterium
Lineage: Bacteria
Description: partial 16S ribosomal RNA
Rfam family: Bacterial small subunit ribosomal RNA
Source: RNAcentral
AACGAACGCUGGCGGCGUGCCUAACACAUGCAAGUCGUGCGAGAAAAGGGGGGCAACUCCCUGAGUACAGCGGCGCACGGGUGAGUAACACGUAGGUAACCUACCCUCGAGCCCGGGAUAACCUACCGAAAGGUGGGCUAAUACCGGUUGUGACCACGGGAGUCUCGGCUCCGGAGGUAAAAGAUGGCCCCUGCUUGCAAGCUACCACUCGUGGAGGGGCCGGGGCGCCAUUGGCUAGUUGGCGGGGUAAUGGCCCACCAAGGCUCUGAUGGCUAGCUGGUCUGAGAGGAUGGCCAGCCACACUGGGACUGAAACACGGCCCAGACUCCUACGGGAGGCAGCAGUGGGGGAUAUUGCGCAAUGGGCGAAAGCCUGACGCAGCGACGCCGCGUGGGUGAUGAAGGCCUUCGGGUCGUAAAGCCCUGUCGAGGGGGACGAACCGGCCGCGACCGAAUACGUCGCGACCCUGACGGUACCCCUAAAGGAAGCACCGGCUAACUCCGUGCCAGCCGCCGCGGUAA